UGAGUACGAGAUGCUACGGCAUCGAAGCAGUCUAUGUCAUACUUCCAAGAAAAGCUUGCAAUGUCAUAAACAAAUAAUGCCUGUACCAUAACCGACACAGGUGGGUAGGUAGAGUAUACUAAGGGGCGCGAGAUAACUCUCUCUAAGGAACUCGGCAAAAUGACUCCGUAACUUCGGGAGAAGGAGUGCCUUAUUUUUAUAAGGUUGCAAUAACAAGAUCCAAGCAACUGUUUACCAAAAACACAGGUCUCCGCUAAGUCGUAAGACGAUGUAUGGGGGCUGACGCCUGCCCAGUGCCAGAAGGUUAAAGAAGUUGGUUAGCAUUAGCGAAGCUGAUAACUGAAGCCCUGGUGAACGGCGGCCGUAACGAUAACGGUCCUAAGGUAGCGAAAUUCCUUGUCGGGUAAGUUCCGACCCGCACGAAAGGCGUAAUGAUUUGGAUACUGUCUCGGAGAGGGGCUCGGUGAAAUAGACUUGUCUGUGAAGAUGCGGACUACCUGCACCAGGACAGAAAGACCCUAUGAAGCUUUACUGUAACUUGAGAUUGAAAUUGGACUUUAUCUGCGCAGUAUAGGUGGGAGACGUUGAAAAUAUUCUUGCGGGAAUAUUGGAGUCAUCAGUGAGAUACCACUCUUAUAAUGUUAGAUUUCUAACUUUGUAUCAUUAUCUGGUCAAAGAACAGUUUCAGGCGGGCAGUUUGACUGGGGCGGUCGCCUCCCAAACGGUAACGGAGGCGCACAAAGGUUUCCUCUGAACGUGUAGAAAUCGUAUCUAGAGUGUAAAGGCAUAAGGAAGCUUGACUGUGAGACCUACAAGUCGAGCAGGGACGAAAGUCGGUCUUAGUGAUCUGACGGUGCUGAGUGGAAAGGCCGUCACUCAACGGAUAAAAGUUACUCUAGGAUAACAGGCUGAUCUCCCCCAAGAGUUCACAUCGACGGGGAGGUUUGGCACCUCGAUGUCGGCUCAUCGCAUCCUGGGGCGGUAGUACGUCCCAAGGGUUGGGCUGUUCGCCCAUGAAAGCGGUACGCGAGCUGGGUUCAGAACGUCGUGAGACAGUUCGGUCCAUAUCCGGUGUAGGCGUUAGAAUAUUGAGAGGAGCCUUCUUUAGUACGAGAGGACCGAGAAGGACAUACCUCUGGUGUACCAGUUAUCGUGCCAACGGUAAACGCUGGGUAGCCAUGUAUGGAGAGGAUAACCGCUGAAAGCAUCCAAGUGGGAAGCCCACCUCAAGAUAAG
Molecule: ribosomal RNA, 1236 nt
Filed under: metagenome
Description: bacterial LSU rRNA
Rfam family: Bacterial large subunit ribosomal RNA
Source: RNAcentral